GACGAACGCUGGCGGCGUGCCUAAUACAUGCAAGUCGAACGAACCGCGACUAGGUGCUUGCACUUGGUCAAGGUGAGUGGCGAACGGGUGAGUAACACGUGGGUAACCUACCUCAUAGUGGGGGAUAACAGUCGGAAGCGACUGCUAAUACCGCAUAGGACAUGGGAUCACAUGAUUCUGUGAGGAAAGGUGGCGCAAGCUAUCGCUAAGAGAUGGACCCGCGGUGCAUUAGCUAGUUGGUAGGGUAACGGCCUACCAAGGCGAUGAUGCAUAGCCGACCUGAGAGGGUGAUCGGCCACAUUGGGACUGAGACACGGCCCAAACUCCUACGGGAGGCAGCAGUAGGGAAUCUUCCGCAAUGGACGCAAGUCUGACGGAGCAACGCCGCGUGAGUGAAGAAGGUCUUCGGAUCGUAAAGCUCUGUUGUUAGAGAAGAACAGCGCAUAGAGUAACUGUUAUGCGUGUGACG
This 469-nucleotide ribosomal RNA is filed under the name Abiotrophia defectiva. Its description in RNAcentral is "bacterial SSU rRNA". It matches the Rfam family "Bacterial small subunit ribosomal RNA", at positions 28 to 474 of the family's 1533-position model. Lineage: Bacteria; Bacillati; Bacillota; Bacilli; Lactobacillales; Aerococcaceae. The record is from RNAcentral.